Molecule: long non-coding RNA, 442 nt
Organism: Haplochromis burtoni (Burton's mouthbrooder)
Lineage: Eukaryota; Metazoa; Chordata; Actinopteri; Cichliformes; Cichlidae
Exons: 2
Source: RefSeq, a predicted model, not a curated record
UAAUACAUUUCUUGAUUUAUUCUAAAACUGAUUUAUUUACUUUCUUUUCUCAAUCUGUAAUAUUGAUUUUGUGUAUAUAUAUAAGUGUUUUUGAUAAAAAACACUUUGACUCACUUUUCCCAGAUGUUGUCCUUAUUAUUCCACAGUGUUAACUUUUUUCUUUCCCCCUUUGGCCACAGUGCUUUUGACAGAUGAUGUCACCUCUGCGAUCAAUUGUGCCAAACGUAUCGUUAGGCAACAAGGCAUCACAGCCUGGGUUGCCUGGCGCACUCGCUGUCAGGGCCAGGAUCUCAGGCCCUAUUUGUCCGGAUGUCGUCUUUAAUCAACACAUAAACAGAAGGGUGUCAUCGACAUAGUAAAUUUUCUCCAUCCUUCUCUGUUUCUACUUUGAAAGGAAAACAUAUUGGGUGACCCAAAUGAUUAAAAGCAGUUAAAAUCUCUA